RNAcentral lists this ribosomal RNA (821 nucleotides) under uncultured bacterium. RNAcentral describes it as "bacterial SSU rRNA". It matches the Rfam family "Bacterial small subunit ribosomal RNA", at positions 100 to 925 of the family's 1533-position model. The record is from RNAcentral.
GACGGGUGAGUAACGCGUGGGUAACCUGCCCAUAAGUGGGGAAUAACAGUUGGAAACGACUGCUAAUACCGCAUAAGCUGAGCAAUCAGUAAAGGAGGCUUUUGCUUCCGCUUAUGGAUGGGCCCGCGUCUGAUUAGCUGGUUGGUGGGGUAAUGGCCUACCAAGGCAACGAUCAGUAGCCGGCCUGAGAGGGUGGACGGCCACACUGGGACUGAGACACGGCCCAGACUCCUACGGGAGGCAGCAGUGGGGAAUAUUGCGCAAUGGGGGAAACCCUGACGCAGCGACGCCGCGUGAGCGAAGAAGGCCUUAGGGUCGUAAAGCUCUGUUUUAAGGGACGAAUAUCCUUAGUAGUAACUGACUAAGGAAUGACGGUACCUUAAGAAAAAGCCCCGGGCUAACUACGUGCCAGCAGCCGCGGUAAGACGUAGGGGGCGAGCGUGUCCCGGAAUUACUGGGCGUAAAGAGCACGUAGGCGGGAUUUUAAGUCAGGUGUUGAAAGACCGUGGCUCAACCACGGGGUUGCACAUGAAACUGGAAUUCUUGAGGGCAGGAGAGGAAAGUGGAUUCCUGGUGUAGCGGUGAAAUGCGUAGAAAUCAGGAGGAACACCGGUGGCGAAGGCGACUUUCUGGACUGACCCUGACGCUGAGGUGCGAAAGCGUGGGUAGCAAACAGGAUUAGAUACCCUGGUAGUCCACGCUGUUACGAUGGAUACUAGGUGUGGGAGGUAUCGACCCCUUCCGUGCCGCAGCAUACGCUAUAAGUAUCCCGCCUGGUGUUAAGUUCGCAAGGCUGAACUCAAGAAUGACGGGACCUAACA